AACUGAGCAAACCAGUGUGGGAAGGGAUUCCAGGGUCCGCACUGGGGCCACAGGUGGAACCCAGCUAUCCUUCUGCUGACUGUGCGCACCAGAAGCAGCAGCGCUGGAAACCGGAAUCCUGUGUCCUGGAGCAGAGCCAGCAGCAGCUGCUGGCAGUAACAGGAGCUUUCCCACACUUGACACCUUCACUGCCCUCAUCCUCCUAUGGGAAAGGAAAAUGUAACCACCGACCAUUUGGCUACCAGAUGGAAUGAGAUGAUAUGGACACAAGAAGUCACUAUGCAAUCACAGAAAUGACCAACAUGCAUCGAGCUAACUGCGGAG
Non-coding RNA from Caretta caretta (loggerhead turtle), 324 nucleotides. The record is from RefSeq and is a predicted model, not a curated record. Lineage: Eukaryota; Metazoa; Chordata; Testudines; Cheloniidae.